RNAcentral lists this ribosomal RNA (447 nucleotides) under uncultured bacterium. RNAcentral describes it as "bacterial SSU rRNA". It matches the Rfam family "Bacterial small subunit ribosomal RNA", at positions 355 to 825 of the family's 1533-position model. The record is from RNAcentral.
UCGGGAAUUUUGGGCAAUGGGGGAAACCCUGACCCAGCAACGCCGCGUGAAGGAUGAAGUAUUUCGGUAUGUAAACUUCGAAAGAAUAGGAAGAAUAAAUGACGGUACUAUUUAUAAGGUCCGGCUAACUACGUGCCAGCAGCCGCGGUAAUACGUAGGGACCAAGCGUUGUUCGGAUUUACUGGGCGUAAAGGGCGCGUAGGCGGCAUGACAAGUCACUUGUGAAAUCUCUGGGCUUAACCCAGAACGGCCAAGUGAUACUGUCGCGCUAGAGUGCAGAAGGGGCAAUCGGAAUUCUUGGUGUAGCGGUGAAAUGCGUAGAUAUCAAGAGGAACACCUGAGGCGAAGGCGGGUUGCUAGGCUGAUACUGACGCUGAGGCGCGAAAGCUAGGGUAGCAAACAGGAUUAGAUACCCCCGUAGUCCCUGAGCGGGCUGGCAAGGCGCAU